AUGGAGAUGGAGAGGAUCAAGGUGCACGACGUCUUUAUUUCAUAUGAAGAUGGAGCUACUGGAGUCAAGGAAGAGAAAGAUUUAGAACAAUGGGCUUCGGGUUUUUGUUUAUAUAUGGAUGCAAGGUCCGGUUUUUGUAAUAAGAAAUAUGAAGCAUGGCAUUGAAGUCCAUUAGCAAAACAAGACUGAAAGAUAGGGUACAAGGCAUUUGGUGCAAAGUUAGAAGCAUGACAUUUAGUGGUAAGGAUGGACAUGGAGAUGGAUCUGUAUGACAUGGCAUGACGUUCGGUUAAGGCUUGAAACAU
Non-coding RNA from Vicia faba (fava bean), 305 nucleotides. NCBI's taxonomy places the organism in Eukaryota, Viridiplantae, Streptophyta, Magnoliopsida, Fabales, Fabaceae. The record is from the annotation of a GenBank genome assembly.